Molecule: ribosomal RNA, 345 nt
Filed under: uncultured eukaryote
Lineage: Eukaryota
Description: SSU rRNA
Rfam family: Eukaryotic small subunit ribosomal RNA
Source: RNAcentral
AUAGCGUAUAUUAAAGUUGUUGCAGUUAAAAAGCUCGUAGUUGAACCUUUGGCCUGGCUGGCAGGUCCGCCUCACCGCGUGCACUUGUCCGGCCGGGCCUUUUCUUCUGGAGAACCGCAUGCCCUUCACUGGGUGUGUUGGGGACCAGGACUUUUACUUUGAAAAAAUUAGAGUGUUCAAAGCAGGCCUUUGCUCGAAUACGUUAGCAUGGAAUAAUAGAAUAGGACGUGCGGUCCUAUUUUGUUGGUUUCUAGGACCGCCGUAAUGAUUAAUAGGGACAGUCGGGGGCAUCAGUAUUCAAUUGUCAGAGGUGAAAUUCUUGGAUUUAUUGAAGACUAACUACUG